RNAcentral lists this small RNA (21 nucleotides) under Arabidopsis thaliana (thale cress). Its description in RNAcentral is "ATSL059860". Lineage: Eukaryota; Viridiplantae; Streptophyta; Magnoliopsida; Brassicales; Brassicaceae. The record is from RNAcentral.
AAAAAAAACACCAAAAAAAAA